Molecule: ribosomal RNA, 301 nt
Filed under: uncultured bacterium
Lineage: Bacteria
Description: partial 16S ribosomal RNA
Rfam family: Bacterial small subunit ribosomal RNA
Source: RNAcentral
CAGUCGCCGCGGGAAUACGAAGGGUGCAAGCGUUACUCGGAAUUACUGGGCGUAAAGCGUGUGUAGGUGGUUGUUUAAGUCUGUCGUGAAAGCCCUGGGCUCAACCUGGGAAUUGCGAUGGAUACUGGGCGACCAGAGUGCGGUAGAGGAUAGUGGAACUUCCGGUGUAGCAGUGAAAUGCGUAGAGAUCGGAAGGAACAUCUGUGGCGAAGGCGACUAUAUGGGCCAACACUGACACUGAGACACGAAAGCGUGGGGAGCAAACAGGAUUAGAUACCCCCGUAGUCCCUGUCUCUUAUAC